Molecule: transfer RNA, 72 nt
Filed under: Ovis aries (sheep)
Lineage: Eukaryota; Metazoa; Chordata; Mammalia; Artiodactyla; Bovidae
Rfam family: tRNA
About the family: Transfer RNA (tRNA) molecules are approximately 80 nucleotides in length.
Source: Rfam by way of RNAcentral
UCCCUGGUGGCUCAGACAGUAAAGAAUCUGCCUGUAAUGUAGGGGACCUAGGUUCAAUUCCUGGUUUGGGAA